UUCCUUUCAUCUGAUAGCACAGGUCUGUACUUCGCCCAAGUCAUGUCGGCUGCCUUUAAAACAAAAAGCUCUUAGCCCACGGUUGCAUGGCAUCAGGAAUCCAGCCUGAUAAAGGAGGUUCCCACGCCUCGGUGCUCUAUCAGCAGGCUGAUCUUAGGCUCUGUGCCUGGGCAACUGUGGAGUUUCAUCAGGUUUAUGUGCAUAGACUGAGUGAAAGGGCUUUCACAUGUGAUGUGAGUUGUGAACAGAUGUGCCUCACCUGGCAGUGGACGAAUCGGAAGCGCACUUUGGAGCUGUGGAUCAUCCUGCCAUAGUUCUUCACGUUGAUGCUGCUCUUCUUCCAUCCGCUGGCCGGAUCGUAAUGGAACGGAGGGUCCCAUUUGAUGUUUU
Colossoma macropomum (tambaqui) is the source of this 390-nucleotide long non-coding RNA. RefSeq lists it as uncharacterized. Lineage: Eukaryota; Metazoa; Chordata; Actinopteri; Characiformes; Serrasalmidae. The transcript has 3 exons. The record is from RefSeq and is a predicted model, not a curated record.